This 511-nucleotide long non-coding RNA is filed under the name Cyanistes caeruleus (blue tit). RNAcentral's name for it is "lncRNA (ENSCCEG00000002369.1)". The record is from RNAcentral. Lineage: Eukaryota; Metazoa; Chordata; Aves; Passeriformes; Paridae.
ACAAACUGCCACCUUAAUUAAUUGAUGAAAAUGAACAAAGAAAACAGUUGCAGACCACACAGGGAACAGAGAAGUGGUUUAAUACAACAGCUGAUGUAAAGAUCCUGAGUGCCAGGAGACCUCCCUUUAGUCUCUGCUUUUCCACUGACUUGAAACAUGAUGCUGAAAAAGUCAUUACAGACCCCACACCUGAGCUCCUCCAAAUUCUGCACAGUGGCUUCCUGAAAGGAGGGUGAAUCAUUCCCCGCAUGUUUCCUUGGCUGGAGCUAAGAGUCACAGGGCAUGCACAGGGAAAUCCAGCCUGUUUCUUUAAAUGUACAUCCUCCAAUAUGUUUUCCUGAGGGAAAGAAGGCUGCAGAUCGGUGCCUGGCAGCCUGAGCAGAAAAUGGUAGUUCUGUGCUAAGUAGGUUUCCUAUUCUUUGGGUGGUGGUUGCACUGUCCUAUGAUGAUUGCUGAAAACCCUGUGAUUUCUGCACUGGUGAAAUGAAGUGAGCUCUUCUUGUGUGUGUGG